Molecule: ribosomal RNA, 321 nt
Filed under: uncultured bacterium
Lineage: Bacteria
Description: bacterial SSU rRNA
Rfam family: Bacterial small subunit ribosomal RNA
Source: RNAcentral
AACGCGUAGGUGACCUGCCCCGAAGUGGGGAAUAACUGCCCGAAAGGGUGGCUAAUACCGCAUGUGGUGCCACGUUCAUUCGUGUCUCCAAAGCCGCAAGGCGCUUCGGGAGGGGCCUGCGUCCGAUUAGCUCGUUGGUGGGGUAAUGGCUCACCAAGGCGACGAUCGGUAGGUGGUCUGAGAGGACGAUCACCCAGACUGGGACUGAGACACGGCCCAGACUCCUACGGGAGGCAGCAGUCGGGAAUUUUGCUCAAUGGGCGCAAGCCUGAAGCAGCAACGCCGCGUGGGGGAUGACGGCCUUCGGGUUGUAAACCUCUU